Molecule: ribosomal RNA, 329 nt
Filed under: Glomus sp.
Lineage: Eukaryota; Fungi; Glomeromycota; Glomeromycetes; Glomerales; Glomeraceae
Description: partial large subunit ribosomal RNA
Source: RNAcentral
CAGUCGUACCGGCGGGUAAUCAGCCUUUUGGGUGCGAUUAUGUGGAGCGUGACGAGUUAAUCACCCUCAUCUUUGCAUAUUUGUGCACUUUGGGUGUACUUGUCCGUAUGGUAAGUUAACAUCAAUUUUGGUCGUUAUAAAAUGGCUGGAGGAAUGUAGCUUUGAUCUCGUAUUGAAGUGUUAUAGCCUUUGGUAGAUGUGAUGAUUGGGAUUGAGGAUUGCAACGGAUACCCUUCGGGGCUACCUGUCUGAUCUCUGAAAGUUGCUCUGGUGCCGAAAGCUUGCUUACGGUAUUAAAGUUGACGUUCAACAGGUUAGAACGGGAUAAA